Molecule: ribosomal RNA, 253 nt
Filed under: uncultured bacterium
Lineage: Bacteria
Description: partial 16S ribosomal RNA
Rfam family: Bacterial small subunit ribosomal RNA
Source: RNAcentral
UACGGAGGGUGCGAGCGUUGUCCGGAAUCACUGGGCGUAAAGGGCGCGUAGGCGGCGCAGGAAGUCAACGGUGAAAGCUCGGGGCUCAACCCUGAAUCGGCCGUCGAUACUCCUGGGCUCGAGCACUGUAGAGGCAGAUGGAAUUCCGGGUGUAGCGGUGGAAUGCGUAGAGAUCCGGAAGAACACCGGUGGCGAAGGCGGUCUGCUGGGCAGUUGCUGACACUGAGGCGCGACAGCGUGGGGAGCAAACAGG